AACCUACCCUUAAGACGAGGAUAGCCAUUGUAAACGAUGGAUAAAACUGGAUAGGAUAUAGAGGAAGAAUCUUUUAUAUUUAAAAGAGAGAUCUGCUUAAGGAGGGGCCUGUGGCGCAUUAGCUAGUUGGUGGGGUAAGGGCCUACCAAGGCGAUGAUGCGUAGCCGGACUGAGAGGUUGAACGGCCACAAUGGAACUGAGAACGGUCCAUACUCCUACGGGAGGCAGCAGUAGGGAAUUUUCGGCAAUGGGGGGAACCCUGACCGAGCAACGCCGCGUGAACGAAGAAGUUAUUCGUAAUGUAAAGUUCUUUUAUCAGGGAAGAAAGAGGAAUUUGACGGUACCUGAGGAAUAAGCUCCGGCUAACUACGUGCCAGCAGCCGCGGUAAUACGUAGGGAGCGAGCGUUAUCCGGAAUUAUUGGGCGUAAAGGGUGCGUAGAUGGCAUAGUAAGUCUUUUGUAAAAAUGCUGGGCUCAACCCAGUAGGGCAAAAGAUACUGCAAAGCUAGAGUAUGACAGAGGCAAGCGGAACUACAUGUGUAGCGGUAAAAUGCGUAAAUAUAUGUAAGAACACCAGUGGCGAAGGCGGCUUGCUGGGUCGAUACUGACAUUGAGGCACGAAAGCGUGGGGAGCAAAC
Molecule: ribosomal RNA, 638 nt
Filed under: uncultured bacterium
Lineage: Bacteria
Description: bacterial SSU rRNA
Rfam family: Bacterial small subunit ribosomal RNA
Source: RNAcentral